GAAAGGGCAAUAAACUGAAUUUUUUGUUUUGUUUUGUUUUUGGUACGGGGGCUGCAACCCAGGACCUCAAGCCUGAGGCCUCCACCUGAACCCAAAUGGAAAGGACCUGCAGUGGAGUCAGAGCAGGCCCCACCCCAGGGGAUACAGCCCUUUCCCUGUAUUUUUAAAGUUAAUUUUGCUUGUUUGGGGGAAUCACUAUUGUCAUAUGAUUUAACCACAUAAGUAAAUUAAAAUGUGGAAUCAUGCCUUUCUGUGUUUUUGUAAUAAUUCCCCCACUCCCCUUUUGGUGAUGCUGGACAUGAAACCCAGGGCCUCCCACAUGUUAAGCACAUGUUCUACCACUGAGUUACAUCCCAAGUCCAACUUUGGUAAUAUUUUGUGAGGACAAAUAGAAUGAAGAAAAAUAAUUUAGAUUUUUUUGGAGCUGUAGUUUACAAUCAAAACUCUAAUAAAGCAGUUAGCAAGAGUACUCCAUCCAGGGGUUGGGGUUGUGACUCGGUGGUAGAGUUCUUGGCUCACAUGUGUGAGGCACUGGGUUUGAUUCUCAGAAUCACAUAUUAAUAUAUGAAUAAGAUAAAGGUCCAUCAACAACUAAAAAAAAAAAAAAAAGGGUACUGUGUCCAGUUGGGCAUGGUGGCAUUUGCCUUUAAGCCCAGCAACUUGGGGAGGCUGAGAUGAGGAUCACAAGAUUGAAGGCCAGUCUCAGCAACUUAUCAAGACCCUGUCUCAAAAAAUAAAAAGGGAGGCUGGGGUUGUAGCUCAGUGGUAGAGCUCCUGCCUAGUAUGUGUGAUGUGUGAGGCACAGUGUUCAACCCUCAGCACCACAUUAAAAAACAAAUAAAUGAAAGUAUUGUGUUCAUCUACAACUAAAAAAAUAAAAUAAAAAAGAACUGGGAAUGUAAGUCAAGAGUAAAGUGCCCCUCGGUUUAAUCCCCAGUACCAAAAAACAAAAAACUUUAUGCAAGUUUAAAGUUCUUAAUGAAACAGGGGGACAGAAAGUUGAAGGUAAGUGCCAGCAACUUAAUGAGACCCUGUCUCAAAAUGAAAAUAGAAAGGACUGGGGGUGUAGCUCAAUAGUAGAGCUCCCAUCAGUUCAAUCCUCAGAACUGAGAAAAAAAAAAGUAAAUAAAAAUAAAAUUCUUAUUGAUACCAUAGGCACUGGUCAAGAUUUUGUUACCUGGAAUUAACUCCUUUGGAAAGAAAAUUAGGUUUAUUUACUUCUAAUUCCAUGUAAUCAAUUUAUAGCAUUUCACCUGAGUAAGGAAUGAUAGUUAUUUUUACUUCUAUUCCUUUGGGUUUAUUAUUAGGAAAAGCACCAAUUUAAACAUAGCACAUGUGUAUAGAGUAAUAAUAUCUGUCUCAUUCCACUGUCCUUCCCAUCCUCAUACCCCUCGUAUGACUCUGCCCCAUACUCAACCAGAGGAAGGAGGAGUUGUGUUCCAUUUGUGUACAAUAUGUCAAAAUGCAUUCUUCUGUCAUGUAGAACUAAUUAGAACAAAUUAAAAAAUAAAAUUAAAAUUAAAAAGAAAGAAAAUGACACUUGGGAACAAAUAACAAAUUGGUCUUCAGUGCUGCUGGAGCCCCCCAGUGAGACUAGCUGAAAUGUGUAGAUGAUGGCAUGGUAAAUGAAUUUCUUUGAGGUACUUCCAAAAAAAAAAAAAGGCACAAUGUUUUCAUGAGUUCUUUUUAUUCUCCCCACCCCCCAAUUCUUUCCCCCCAAGAUUCUGUUGUCUAUUAAGAUUUCUUUGUGAUUCCAUCUGCAUUUUAGGUGGAUUUUUCAAUUUCUGCCCCCCCAAAAGUCAUUUGGAUUAAAAAAGAUUUUUUUGUAGUUGUAGAUAGAUAGCAUACCUUUAUUUUCUUUAUUUAUUUUAUGUGGUGCUAAGGAUCAAAUCCAAUGCCUCACACAUGCUAGGCAAGUGCUGUGCCACUGAAUCACAACUCCAGCCCAUCAUUGGGAUUUUGAUAGAUACCACAUUAAAUCUGUACAUUGCUUUUGGUAAUACUGACAUUUUAAUGCUAUAAAGUCUUCCAGUCCACACACAGUGUUGUUUUUUUUUAAUUUGUUUUGUUUUGUUGAUGGACUUUAUUUUACUUAUUUUUAUACAAUGCUAAGGCUCGAACCCAGCAUGCUAGGCAAGUGCUGUACCACUGAGCCACAACCCCAGCCCCACACAGUGGUUUUAAUUUCCAUUUUCCUGGUGACUUACAAUGCUGAGCAUCUUUUCAUGUGCUUAUUGGCUAUUUGUGUAUCUUCCUGGGAGAACUGUCUAUUCAGAU
Molecule: long non-coding RNA, 2277 nt
Filed under: Marmota monax (woodchuck)
Lineage: Eukaryota; Metazoa; Chordata; Mammalia; Rodentia; Sciuridae
Source: RNAcentral